GAGGAGACAGAGAUUAUGAUCCUGCUGCCGUCACAAUGUGAGGGAACAGUUGUCCCUGAGGUACUUGGGGGGGAAGCUGAGCCAAGGUUCUUUCUCUACCCCCACUUGUCAGUCUCCUGUUACUUGUUGUUUCUUCUACUGCAGGCAAGGAAAGUUCCUGACCUCUCUCAGGACACUUGAAAAGCUGCCUGGUGGAACCCAGUGGCAAGUUCUGACAUAGAAACAGUGGAUUCCCUUUGGACAUCAAUGUCUGUGGAUUUAUGCUUUUGGCUGUGGACACAAUGGGGAAAUCUGAAGAGCCCAGCCCACCCCUGUACUCCAGGACCCUGUCUGUGCACUGCCUGUCUUCCCUGGCAUAGCCAACCUUAGACAGCAGAAGACAUCUGCAUCCAGUCAGCGCCAUGUUGCCCUGGGCUGCAGCUCCUCACUUCCACACAGAAAUAAGGAUCUGAAUGUGAACUCCUUGACCUGAGCCGUUCACUGGUGGGGAAGUUACUGGAUUGAGAACACUCAGAGUAUUGCGAAGGAAAUAAAUGGCAGAUGGAGAACCU
RNAcentral lists this long non-coding RNA (551 nucleotides) under Rattus norvegicus (Norway rat). RNAcentral's name for it is "long non-coding RNA NONRATT017025". Lineage: Eukaryota; Metazoa; Chordata; Mammalia; Rodentia; Muridae. The record is from RNAcentral.